ACAUCGUUGGUGAAACGGUAUCAUGCACCAUUCCCAGCGGACAUGUGACUAGCAUUCCUCUUUGUUGCGGCAAGGGUUCGACUCCCUUACGAUGUA
RNAcentral lists this transfer RNA (96 nucleotides) under Kwoniella dejecticola CBS 10117. RNAcentral describes it as "tRNA-Gly". It matches the Rfam family "tRNA". From Rfam's summary of the family: Transfer RNA (tRNA) molecules are approximately 80 nucleotides in length. Lineage: Eukaryota; Fungi; Basidiomycota; Tremellomycetes; Tremellales; Cryptococcaceae. The record is from RNAcentral.